CCAGCUCUAACUUGCUCACUCAAACUGUAUCUGAUUUUUGAAAUUGUGCUCUACAGUUUGGCAACAAGCCAGUUUGACAGCUGGUUUAGUGAAGGGAUAAUUUUUCCACAGAGUAAUGUGAGCUCUAUGGAACAUCUUUUCUGAAAAGACAACAUGACAGACAGGUAUAAUAGGAGAACCACUAAUAUGCAGUCACUUAAGUAGUAGCAAAUGUGCAACACCUUUGAAGAAAUCUUUCUGGAAUAUUCAGAUCGUGUGAAAUUUACUCUUGAAUGCAUCACCAUACUGCACUUAAGUUAUCUGUAUAGUUGUCUACCAUUUAUCAAAGUGAAUUCCAGAAAGAUCAUCUGUGGGGAUUGUUUCUAGACUUAAAGUAUCACUUUUAUUUAAGAUUAACAUGAGCCUUUUUGGUGUUUUGUUACUGUAGAUGUUAGAACUAGUUGCUCUAACAUUCUAAGACUUAAAAACUGAAAAUACACUUGAUUUUGUUUAUGACAGACUAAAUUUCAUCAUGUCAGAGAUAAACUCUGACAAGACUAACUUGCAUCCUGGAUCAGGUUGAAAGGAUUCAAAAGAUAAAGACUAUUUCUAAACAUUGUCUGAAAUACUGGCAUGUGCCAUUUUACAUCUCAGCAGAAAACUGCAAUUGAUGAUAAACAGCACUGAUAGUGCAGGCUUCUUCAAAACAUAUUUGUUGCAAUGCAUGAAGUCAGAUAAUGUACCAUACCAUUUGAGUUGCAUCACAUAAAAUAUUGUGAAAUCUAACAGCAGAGCUUCACCUCAAGAAAAUAGGAGGUUAUUAAGCAGUUCAGGUAGAUUGCUUGUUGCAGGGUUCACCUAAAGUAAGUUCUGCUGAAAUUGGCUAACGACGGCCUUUAAUUUACAACACCUGAGACUAAGCAGUUUCUUUCCUGUCGUAUUCUCUAGCUGAUUCAAUUUUACUUGAAUAGUGCACUGCUUCUUGGCAAGUAAACUCAUUUACCUGCAGACACUAAACAGAAAUCUGUUGACUGACUUUUUCAGCUACCAUUCUUCUUGUGUAUGCAGCAGCUGUCCAACAAAAUUCACCUUAAAUUUAUGUUUGCAUCAUGACAUUGCAACAUGCUCAACUUGUGGAUGUGGUCAGCAAUAAGUGGGGAAUGAACAGUGAAGCAGUGGAAUCCUGGACUUCUGGCAGUGCUUCAGCUUUUACUGAAGCAUGUUUACUUUCAUUUCAGGUUUUCUGGAAUUUACCACUGUUAUUUUACCAGGUGAGGCCCAGCCUACUUUUUUAACAGGCCUGGCCAGAGAGUGUAAGCUGCUGGAGACCUAAGCAAAUUAUAAAUGUCUUCAAGCUUUUAUUAACAAACACUAUUUUGUCUACAGAAGAAAUAUGUUCUUUUAUACCUUCCUGAUCUAAGAAACUGGAUAAAUCCAGCAUCAUAUAUUUAUUUCUUGAAAAUCACAUUGCGAAAAGAAAAAAAUUAUAGGUAACAUCAAGACAGUAUUUGCACCAAAUAUAUAUUUCUAUUAAUAUAAAUA
This is a long non-coding RNA of Pipra filicauda (Wire-tailed manakin), 1521 nucleotides long. RefSeq lists it as uncharacterized. The transcript has 3 exons. Lineage: Eukaryota; Metazoa; Chordata; Aves; Passeriformes; Pipridae. The record is from RefSeq and is a predicted model, not a curated record.